GAUGAACGCUGGCGGCGUGCCUAAUACAUGCAAGUCGAGCGAACAGACGAGGAGCUUGCUCCUCUGACGUUAGCGGCGGACGGGUGAGUAACACGUGGAUAACCUACCUAUAAGACUGGGAUAACUUCGGGAAACCGGAGCUAAUACCGGAUAAUAUAUUGAACCGCAUGGUUCAAUAGUGAAAGACGGUUUUGCUGUCACUUAUAGAUGGAUCCGCGCCGCAUUAGCUAGUUGGUAAGGUAACGGCUUACCAAGGCAACGAUGCGUAGCCGACCUGAGAGGGUGAUCGGCCACACUGGAACUAAGACACGGUCCAGACUCCUACGGGAGGCAGCAGUAGGGAAUCUUCCGCAAUGGGCGAAAGCCUGACGGAGCAACGCCGCGUGAAUGAUGAAGGUCUUCGGAUCGUAAAACUCUGUUAUUAGGGAAGAACAAAUGUGUAAGUAACUAUGCACGUCUUGACGGUACCUAAUCAGAAAGCCACGGCUAACUACGUG
RNAcentral lists this ribosomal RNA (497 nucleotides) under uncultured bacterium. RNAcentral's name for it is "partial 16S ribosomal RNA". It matches the Rfam family "Bacterial small subunit ribosomal RNA", at positions 28 to 507 of the family's 1533-position model. The record is from RNAcentral.